GAAGAAGAACGUAGCGAAAUGCGAUAAGUAAUGCGAAUUGCAGAAUUCAGUGAGUCAUCGAAUCUUUGAACGCACAUUGCGCCCUGUGGUAUUCCGCAGGGCAUGCCUGUUCGAGCGUCAUUUCAACCCUCAAGCUCUGCUUGGUGUUGGGCCCUGCCCGCUGCGGCCGGCCCUAAAGACAGUGGCGGUGCCGCCUGGCCCUGAGCGUAGUACAUCUCUCGCUCCAGUGCCCGGUGGUAGCCUGCCAGAACCCCAACUCUCGUGGUUGACCUCGGAUCAGGUAGGGAUACCCGCUGAACUUAAGCAUAUCAAUAAGCGGAGGA
This 323-nucleotide unclassified non-coding RNA is filed under the name soil metagenome. RNAcentral describes it as "partial contains 5.8S ribosomal RNA, internal transcribed spacer 2, and large subunit ribosomal RNA". The stretch from base 1 to 120 matches the Rfam family "5.8S ribosomal RNA", at positions 35 to 154 of the family's 154-position model. The record is from RNAcentral.